AUUCACGACACAAGGAACCGUUUAGACAAAUUCUUGGGACGGCCUUAUGACGUUCUGAUGACGUGUUUCGCACUGGGCAUGCUCAAGUACGCCACUGAAAAGUACAUGGAGGCCCUCUACUUGGCUGAGAGGACCAUAAAACUAUGCGAGAAAGGGGAAUUGCAAGCCAGAGACAAAAAAGAAUUGACUACUUUCUUCAAGAUGAUUCGCCGCAAGCUACCAAACCAAGUGACUGCCGUCCUGAAACAUUUCACACAAAUGCAAUGGCCCUGAGCUGCCGUGGUCCGUAGGGAAAGCAAUGCAAAAUGUGAGACGCAACAAACUACGAGCACAUUUAUUCAUACGUACAAACAAAAAUAAACUAGUGAGCCUAGAGUAUUAUUGCACGCUUGUGCUAAUCGUUCAUACUCAGACAUAACUUUGACAUUUAAAGACAUGAUGUUAUAUCUCCCGGUCUGUGCUUUUUGUACAUGAGAAUCAAGCAUUCUCUAGAGCUAGAUAUUUCAUCGACUUUGACGAGACAUUUUACAGGAUCAAAUGUUUUAGAGAGUAGAUACAGCAGCACCUCAGAAACAUAUUAUUUCAAUAGGCAAGAUUGUUUAUUUCCAGGUCUAUGUUUUGUACAUGUACUGGUGAUACAUGAGAACCAAACUGAGUAUCUCUACGGUUAUUUCAUCGACUUUGACAAGUCGUUUUUAUUAGAACGACCAAUAUUUUAGUUUGUAGUUAUGUACAUGUAUUAUAAAUUUCCCAGAAAAAUUUAAUUUCAUAAACUUUAUCACCUGUGUUCUCAUGUACUAGAAAAGAUAAGAUACAAGUCCAGACCAAUACGCUGAGACCCACUACUACAUCAUGUUCUGUCAUUUAUUUUUUUAUACAUUUACUUUAUAGAGAUUGAAAGAGUAUGAAAGAGUAAGGUUUGGAUGGCUAACAUAAAGGAGCUGCAGUUCUGUCUCAAGUUAUCAAGCUUCAAUCUUGUCUUAUCCUUAAUGUGCACAAUGCUCUGAAAUUUUUGUUUAUUCCAAAAUCACAUUGCGAAGCAGGUUAAAUUCU
Long non-coding RNA from Aplysia californica (California sea hare), 1053 nucleotides. RefSeq lists it as uncharacterized. The transcript is spliced from 2 exons. The record is from RefSeq and is a predicted model, not a curated record. NCBI's taxonomy places the organism in Eukaryota, Metazoa, Mollusca, Gastropoda, Aplysiida, Aplysiidae.